This 409-nucleotide ribosomal RNA is filed under the name uncultured bacterium. Its description in RNAcentral is "bacterial SSU rRNA". It matches the Rfam family "Bacterial small subunit ribosomal RNA", at positions 29 to 424 of the family's 1533-position model. The record is from RNAcentral.
AACGAACGCUGGCGGCGUGCCUAACACAUGCAAGUCGUGCGAGAAAGUUCCUUCGGGAGCGAGUAAAGCGGCGCACGGGUGAGUAACACGUAGGUAACCUGCCCCCCAGUCUGGAACAACUAGAGGAAACUCUAGCUAAUGCCGGAUGAGACCACGAUCCCUUCGGGGGUUGCGGCCAAAGAUGGCCUCUACUUGUAAGCUAUCGCUGAGGGAUGGGCCUGCGGGCCAUUAGCUUGUUGGUGAGGUAACGGCUCACCAAGGCUGUGAUGGCUAGCUGGUCUGAGAGGAUGACCAGCCACACUGGGACUGAGACACGGCCCAGACUCCUACGGAGGCAGCAGUGGGGAAUAUUGCGCAAUGGGCGAAAGCCUGACGCAGCGACGCCGCGUGGGUGAUGAAGGCCUCGGUC